This 480-nucleotide ribosomal RNA is filed under the name uncultured bacterium. RNAcentral's name for it is "bacterial SSU rRNA". It matches the Rfam family "Bacterial small subunit ribosomal RNA", at positions 335 to 799 of the family's 1533-position model. The record is from RNAcentral.
ACUCCUACGGGAGGCAGCAGUGGGGAAUAUUGCACAAUGGGCGCAAGCCUGAUGCAGCCAUGCCGCGUGUAUGAAGAAGGCCUUCGGGUUGUAAAGUACUUUCAGCAGUGAGGAAGGUGAGUGUAGUUAAUAGGCUGCUAUUAUUUUGACGAUUAGACAUGCAGAACGGAAGACACCGGCUAACUCCGUGCCAGCAGCCGCGGUAAUACGGAGGGUGCGAGCGUUAAUCGGAAUUACUGGGCGUAAAGCGCAUGCAGGUGGUUUGUUAAGUCAGAUGUGAAAGCCCGGGGCUCAACCUCGGAAUAGCAUUUGAAACUGGCAGACUAGAGUACUNUAGAGGGGGUAGAAUUUCAGGUGUAGCGGUGAAAUGCGUAGAGAUCUGAAGGAAUACCGGUGGCGAAGGCGGCCCCCUGGACAGAUACUGACACUCAGAUGCGAAAGCGUGGGGAGCAAACAGGAUUAGAUACCCUGGUAGCUACG